Molecule: small nucleolar RNA, 89 nt
Filed under: Bactrocera dorsalis (oriental fruit fly)
Lineage: Eukaryota; Metazoa; Arthropoda; Insecta; Diptera; Tephritidae
Description: Small nucleolar RNA Me28S-Cm3227
Rfam family: Small nucleolar RNA Me28S-Cm3227
About the family: Me28S-Cm3227 is a member of the C/D class of snoRNA which contain the C (UGAUGA) and D (CUGA) box motifs. This family directs 2'-O-methylation of 28S C-3227.
Source: Rfam by way of RNAcentral
CACUUAAUGAUGAUAAGUUUAAUCAUAAGUAAAUAAUUGCUGAUUUACAACUUAAAAUUUGAACCAAAAGGAUUCUGAUGCUCUAAAUG